CGGUUAAGUUAGAAAGGGCGCACGGUGGAUGCCUUGGCACUAGGAGCCGAUGAAGGACGGGACGAACACCGAUAUGCUUCGGGGAGCUGUAAGCAAGCUUUGAUCCGGAGAUUUCCGAAUGGGGAAACCCACCACUCGUAAUGGAGUGGUAUCCAUAUCUGAAUACAUAGGAUAUGAGAAGGCAGACCCGGGGAACUGAAACAUCUAAGUACCCGGAGGAAGAGAAAGCAAAUGCGAUUCCCUGAGUAGCGGCGAGCGAAACGGGACCAGCCCAAACCAAGAGGCUUGCCUCUUGGGGUUGUAGGACACUCUGUACGGAGUUACAAAGGAACGAGGUAGAUGAAGAGGUCUGGAAAGGCCCGCCAUAGGAGGUAACAGCCCUGUAGUCAAAACUUCGUUCUCUCCUGAGUGGAUCCUGAGUACGGCGGAACACGUGAAAUUCCGUCGGAAUCCGGGAGGAGCAUCUCCCAAGGCUAAAUACUCCCUAGUGACCGAUAGUGAACCAGUACCGUGAGGGAAAGGUGAAAAGCACCCCGGAAGGGGAGUGAAAGAGAUCCUGAAACCGUGUGCCUACAAGUAGUCAGAGCCCGUUAACGGGUGAUGGCGUGCCUUUUGUAGAAUGAACCGGCGAGUUACGAUCCCGUGCAAGGUUAAGCAGAAGAUGCGGAGCCGCAGCGAAAGCGAGUCUGAAUAGGGCGAAUUGAGUACGUGGUCGUAGACCCGAAACCAGGUGAUCUACCCAUGUCCAGGGUGAAGUUCAGGUAACACUGAAUGGAGGCCCGAACCCACGCACGUUGAAAAGUGCGGGGAUGAGGUGUGGGUAGGGGUGAAAUGCCAAUCGAACCUGGAGAUAGCUGGUUCUCUCCGAAAUAGCUUUAGGGCUAGCCUCAAGGUAAGAGUCUCGGAGGUAGAGCACUGAUUGGACUAGGGGCCCCUACCGGGUUACCGAAUUCAGUCAAACUCCGAAUGCCGAUGACUUAUCCUUGGGAGUCAGACUGCGAGUGAUAAGAUCCGUAGUCGAAAGGGAAACAGCCCAGACCGCCAGCUAAGGUCCCAAAGUAUACGUUAGGUGGAAAAGGAUGUGGAGUUGCUUAGACAACCAGGAUGUUGGCUUAGAAGCAGCCACCAUUUAAAGAGUGCGUAAUAGCUCACUGGUCGAGUGACUCUGCGCCGAAAAUGUACCGGGGCUAAACGUAUCACCGAAGCUGCGGACUGUUCUUCGAACAGUGGUAGGAGAGCGUUCUAAGGGCUGUGAAGCAAGACCGGAAGGACUUGUGGAGCGCUUAGAAGUGAGAAUGCCGGUAUGAGUAGCGAAAGAGGGGUGAGAAUCCCCUCCACCGAAUGCCUAAGGUUUCCUGAGGAAGGCUCGUCCGCUCAGGGUUAGUCGGGACCUAAGCCGAGGCCGAAAGGCGUAGGCGAUGGAUAACAGGUUGAUAUUCCUGUACCACCUCCUCACCAUUUAAUCGCGUAUGAGCAAUGGGGGGACGCAGGAGGAUAGGGUAAGCGCGGUAUUGGAUAUCCGCGUCCAAGCAGUUAGGCUGGGAAAUAGGCAAAUCCGUUUCCUGUGAAGGCUGAGCUGUGAUGGCGAGCGAAUUAUAGUAGCGAAGUUCCUGAUUCCACACUGCCAAGAAAAGCCUCUAGCGAGGUGAGAGGUGCCCGUACCGCAAACCGACACAGGUAGGCGAGGAGAGAAUCCUAAGGUGAUCGAGAGAACUCUCGUUAAGGAACUCGGCAAAAUGACCCCGUAACUUCGGGAGAAGGGGUGCUCUGUUAGGGUGCAAGCCCGAGAGAGCCGCAGUGAAUAGGCCCAGGCGACUGUUUAGCAAAAACACAGGUCUCUGCGAAGCCGUAAGGCGAAGUAUAGGGGCUGACGCCUGCCCGGUGCUGGAAGGUUAAGAGGAGCGCUUAGCGUAAGCGAAGGUGCGAAUUGAAGCCCCAGUAAACGGCGGCCGUAACUAUAACGGUCCUAAGGUAGCGAAAUUCCUUCGCACGAAAGGCGCAACGAUCUGGGCACUGUCUCAACGAGAGACUCGGUGAAAUUAUAGUACCUGUGAAGAUGCAGGUUACCCGCGACAGGACGGAAAGACCCCGUGGAGCUUUACUGCAGCCUGAUAUUGAAUGUUGGUACAGCUUGUACAGGAUAGGUAGGAGCCUUGGAAACCGGAGCGCCAGCUUCGGUGGAGGCAUCGGUGGGAUACUACCCUGGCUGUAUUGACCUUCUAACCCGCCGCCCUUAUCGGGCGGGGAGACAGUGUCAGGUGGGCAGUUUGACUGGGGCGGUCGCCUCCUAAAAGGUAACGGAGGCGCCCAAAGGUUCCCUCAGAAUGGUUGGAAAUCAUUCGCAGAGUGUAAAGGCACAAGGGAGCUUGACUGCGAGACCUACAAGUCGAGCAGGGACGAAAGUCGGGCUUAGUGAUCCGGUGGUUCCGCAUGGAAGGGCCAUCGCUCAACGGAUAAAAGCUACCCCGGGGAUAACAGGCUUAUCUCCCCCAAGAGUCCACAUCGACCGGGAGGUUUGGCACCUCGAUGUCGGCUCAUCGCAUCCUGGGGCUGUAGUCGGUCCCAAGGGUUGGGCUGUUCGCCCAUUAAAGCGGUACGCGAGCUGGGUUCAGAACGUCGUGAGACAGUUCGGUCCCUAUCCGUCGCGGGCGCAGGAAAUUUGAGAGGAGCUGUCCUUAGUACGAGAGGACCGGGAUGGACGCACCGCUGGUGUACCAGUUGUUCUGCCAAGGGCAUCGCUGGGUAGCUAUGUGCGGACGGGAUAAGUGCUGAAAGCAUCUAAGCAUGAAGCCCCCCUCAAGAUGAGAUUUCCCAUUCCGCAAGGAAGUAAGAUCCCUGAAAGAUGAUCAGGUUGAUAGGUCUGAGGUGGAAGUGUGGCGACACAUGGAGCUGACAGAUACUAAUCGAUCGAGGACUUAACCAAUUU
This 2926-nucleotide ribosomal RNA is filed under the name Bacillus amyloliquefaciens. RNAcentral describes it as "bacterial LSU rRNA". It matches the Rfam family "Bacterial large subunit ribosomal RNA". The record is from RNAcentral. Lineage: Bacteria; Bacillati; Bacillota; Bacilli; Caryophanales; Bacillaceae.